RNAcentral lists this transfer RNA (74 nucleotides) under Tropheryma whipplei. RNAcentral's name for it is "tRNA-Ile". It matches the Rfam family "tRNA". Rfam says of the family: Transfer RNA (tRNA) molecules are approximately 80 nucleotides in length. RNAcentral also lists the same sequence under 2 other names. The record is from RNAcentral. Lineage: Bacteria; Bacillati; Actinomycetota; Actinomycetes; Micrococcales; Tropherymataceae.
GGGGCGGUAGCUCAGCUGGUUAGAGCUGCGAACUCAUAAUUCGUCGGUCACGGGUUCGAGUCCCGUCCGCCCCA